This is a long non-coding RNA of Brassica napus (rape), 1585 nucleotides long. RefSeq lists it as uncharacterized. The record is from RefSeq and is a predicted model, not a curated record. Lineage: Eukaryota; Viridiplantae; Streptophyta; Magnoliopsida; Brassicales; Brassicaceae. The transcript is spliced from 2 exons.
UGGAUAGUAGUAUAAAGAAAGAAGUUAAUUAUUUGGAAAUAUGAAUAAUAGAAUAAAGAAAAGAAUAUUGGUGAUUUUAUUCAGGUUUAAAUAUAAAGUAGAAAUGUGUAUUUAAUUUAAAAAAAUUACAAAAUGAAUGUUAGGUAUAACACAAUGUUUCUGUCUUAAUAAUAUAGAUGAAAUUGAUUAGAGAAAUGUUAAAGAUAAUUUCUUAAUUAGUGUGAGUGCAUACAUAUUAAUUUAAUAUAUAUAAUAAUAAUAUUUUAAUAAUUUUAAAUUGAAAAGGAAAUAAAUGUUUAAGUAAUUGCACCCCAUGACCAUAAAACAAAACGUUAUUAGGUGAAUGGUUAAGACACUUUUACACUUUCAUAAUUCCAUCCUUGCCCCUACACUAGAUCUGAGGCGAGUCUGACACACUGAGCUUCUCUGCAGCUCUACAGGAUAGAGUAGUUGUAAUUAUUACCCUACUGAACUCUACUACUUCACGCCAUCUCUUGACAUUUGAAACUAAAAAUAUUCAAUUUUGAAGUUAUUCUAGCUCACCUGAUAAUCUGAUCUCUCUCUAACUAAAUUUCGUCACUUAUCUUUUUCGAGAUCUAUACGUAUUAUCCUCUAAAAAUUCAGUUUGAGAUCCAACUCCCCAAAGGACACUCUUCUCCCUAUCAUCAGAUUUACCGUGUCUCGUUUAACAACAGAAGAAAAACCGUAGGCUCCGUAAAGUCCCACCUGGAGAAUAACCACCUCCUCGCCACCAUCAAAUACAAAGACCUCACCGUCAAGCAGUUCCAAGACCUUUAAAUCCGGUCAUAUUCCGGCCACACACACAAGCAUUAGAUUACCGUUUGUCUGUAUCCUCUCUUUCUCUCUCAGAUAUGGCCACCAAGAACGCGAGAGACAAAACCAACAACAACUGUGCUGAGAUUAACUCUCGUCAACAUCGCAUGGAUUCUUCUUCCUCCGCACCUCCGCCUGAGCUCAUGGGUCAAUCUCCUCCUCAAACCCUUGUGCUACCCAAUCUCCUCUCAUGCUUAUUCCUCAGGUUCUCUCUCCCAUAUUCACUUUGCUUAAAGUGAUGGCUGAAAAAGAGUUCUCUAAGAAGCAUCUUUACCUUAACGUUCUUUCAGCUGGGUUACCAUGUGAGUUGGUCUGUUUUACUUUGUUCCGAUUCAUAAUUUUUUUUACAAAGCAAGACUGUUUUGGUGUCCCUCAGUAUGUCUCACUUCACAAUCUUUCCCGUCAUUUUCUUGAUUCGAUUGGAGGGGUCUCAAGCUAGAUAGGACAGAUCAAACAGAGCUUAACUUUUUUUUUUUCCAAGAUUCAAGGCUUACGCAGAUGCUUCAAAACUUUGAGAAGGAUACACAAAGGGAAAAAACAUAAAAUUUGUGUUUCGGUGAUUGUGUAUGACAAAUGUAUCCCGUUAGCAUAUUUGAUAUCAUAUUCUAGCUAUGUAGUUGUUAUCUAGUUAUCAUUGAGUUUAUCCUUCUGUUUCCUAGAAUCGAGAUACUAUUGUUAAUAUCCGGUUUUAUGUUUAACAUAACUCAAAAAACUUAUAGUCUUAUGUUAUAGAUUAUCCAAAUAACAACCA